Molecule: non-coding RNA, 157 nt
Filed under: Candidatus Omnitrophota bacterium
Lineage: Bacteria; Pseudomonadati; Candidatus Omnitrophota
Description: 6S RNA
Rfam family: 6S / SsrS RNA
About the family: E. coli 6S RNA was the first non coding RNA to be sequenced, but its function was unknown until recently. It consists of 184 nucleotides that fold into an extended hairpin structure with a large single-stranded internal bulge.
Source: RNAcentral
AAAUCCCUGCCCUGCGCGUUGGAGACUUAAAAUUAAUGAACCAACACUAAGUUAAAGGGAGCUGCGAUUCACUUCAUCUGUGGAUGAUUUGAGAGGGCACCCACCUGUACCCUAAGGGUUCAGUUAGAUAAAGUCCGACGGCAAUGGCGGGGAUUAA